UACGUAGGGCGCUAGCGUUGUCCGGAAUUAUUGGGCGUAAAGAGCUCGUAGGCGGCUUGUCACGUCGGGUGUGAAAGCCCGGGGCUUAACCCCGGGUCUGCAUUCGAUACGGGCAGGCUAGAGUGUGGUAGGGGAGAUCGGAAUUCCUGGUGUAGCGGUGAAAUGCGCAGAUAUCAGGAGGAACACCGGUGGCGAAGGCGGAUCUCUGGGCCAUUACUGACGCUGAGGAGCGAAAGCGUGGGGAGCGAACAGG
Molecule: ribosomal RNA, 253 nt
Filed under: uncultured bacterium
Lineage: Bacteria
Description: partial 16S ribosomal RNA
Rfam family: Bacterial small subunit ribosomal RNA
Source: RNAcentral